This 238-nucleotide ribosomal RNA is filed under the name uncultured bacterium. Its description in RNAcentral is "partial 16S ribosomal RNA". It matches the Rfam family "Bacterial small subunit ribosomal RNA", at positions 92 to 334 of the family's 1533-position model. The record is from RNAcentral.
CGAGUGGCGGACGGGUGAGUAAUGUCUGGGAAACUGCCCGAUGGAGGGGGAUAACUACUGGAAACGGUAGCUAAUACCGCAUAACGUCGCAGACCAAAGAGGGGGACCUUAGGGCCUCUUGCCAUCGGAUGUGCCCAGAUGGGAUUAGCUAGUAGGUGGGGUAACGGCUCACCUAGGCGACGAUCCCUAGCUGGUCUGAGAGGAUGACCAGCCACACUGGAACUGAGACACGGUCCAG